GACGGUAGCUCAAUGGUAGAGCAGUAGCCUUUUAAGCUAUUGGUUGCGGGUUCGAGUCUCGCCCGGAUCACCA
This 73-nucleotide transfer RNA is filed under the name Candidatus Dojkabacteria bacterium. RNAcentral describes it as "tRNA-Lys". It matches the Rfam family "tRNA". Rfam says of the family: Transfer RNA (tRNA) molecules are approximately 80 nucleotides in length. The record is from RNAcentral.